UUCGCAAUGCCCGAAAGGGUGACGAAGCGACGCCGCGUGCGGGAAGAAGGCCUUCGGGUUGUAAACCGCUGUCGGGAGUUAGGAAAUGCAAGGAUGUUAAUAGCGUCUUUGCUUGACUAAGGCUCCGGAGGAAGCCACGGCUAACUCUGUGCCAGCAGCCGCGGUAAUACAGAGGCGGCAAGCGUUGUUCGGAAUUAUUGGGCGUAAAGAGCACGUAGGCGGCCGUGUAAGUCGGUUGUGAAAGCCUUCCGCUCAACGGGAGAACGGCAUCCGAUACUGCAUGGCUCGAGUGCGGGAGGGGAGAGUGGAACUUCUGGCGGAGCGGUGAAAUGCGUAGAUAUCAGAAGGAACACCGGCGGCGAAGGCGACUCUCUGGCCCGUAACUGACGCUGAGUGUGCGAAAGCUAGGGGAGCAAACGGGAUUAGAUACCCCGGUAGUCCUAGCCGUAAACGAUGGGCACUAAGUAGAGGGGUUUU
Molecule: ribosomal RNA, 477 nt
Filed under: uncultured bacterium
Lineage: Bacteria
Description: bacterial SSU rRNA
Rfam family: Bacterial small subunit ribosomal RNA
Source: RNAcentral